AAUUGGAUCAAUUAUCCAAUAAUUUGAUGGACCAAAUCUAAAUUCUAAAGUUUUCUCUACAAAUAUCAAUAUUUCCACUUCCUUAACAAAAUGUAGAGAUUUUCUAGAAUCAUCUUCCACCUCCUUAAACAUAGAAAAUCUAGAUAAUUUUAU
RNAcentral lists this small RNA (153 nucleotides) under Arabidopsis thaliana (thale cress). RNAcentral's name for it is "ATSL086310". The record is from RNAcentral. Lineage: Eukaryota; Viridiplantae; Streptophyta; Magnoliopsida; Brassicales; Brassicaceae.